This 447-nucleotide ribosomal RNA is filed under the name uncultured bacterium. RNAcentral describes it as "bacterial SSU rRNA". It matches the Rfam family "Bacterial small subunit ribosomal RNA", at positions 355 to 825 of the family's 1533-position model. The record is from RNAcentral.
UGGGGAAUCUUGGACAAUGGGCGCAAGCCUGAUCCAGCCAUGCCGCGUGAGUGAAGAAGGCCUUCGGGUUGUAAAGCUCUUUUACCAGGGACGAUAAUGACGGUACCUGGAGAAUAAGCCCCGGCAAACUUCGUGCCAGCAGCCGCGGUAAUACGAAGGGGGCUAGCGUUGUUCGGAAUUACUGGGCGUAAAGCGCACGUAGGCGGAUUGUUAAGUCAGAGGUGAAAUCCCGGAGCUCAACUUCGGAACUGCCUUUGAUACUGGCAAUCUAGAGUCCGGAAGAGGUUAGUGGAAUUCCCAGUGUAGAGGUGAAAUUCGUAGAUAUUGGGAAGAACACCAGUGGCGAAGGCGGCUAACUGGUCCGGUACUGACGCUGAGGUGCGAAAGCGUGGGGAGCAAACAGGAUUAGAUACCCGCGUAGUCCCUGAGCGGGCUGGCAAGGCGCAU